Molecule: ribosomal RNA, 468 nt
Filed under: uncultured bacterium
Lineage: Bacteria
Description: partial 16S ribosomal RNA
Rfam family: Bacterial small subunit ribosomal RNA
Source: RNAcentral
GAUGAACGCUGGCGGCGUGCUUAAAACAUGCAAGUCGAACGGAAAGACCAGGCUUUUGCGGGUUUGCCGGUGGCGAAGGGGGGGUGAAACACAGGAGUAUCCCCCCCUUAACUUGGUGAUAUCUCGAGGAAACGGGGGCAAUAACCGCGUAGAAGCUCUUGAACCGGGGGGGGGGUUGGAAAGAUUCGGCGGUGGGGGCUGGAAUCGGGGUUUAUGGGCUGGUUGGUGGGGUAGUGGCUUACCAAGGUUUCGAAGGGUAGCCGGCCUGAGAGGUGGACCGGGGACAUUGGGACUGAGAUAGGGCCCAGACUGCUACGUGAGGCAGCAGUGGAGAGUAUUGCACAAUGGGCGGAAGCCUGAUGCAGCAACGCCGCGAGCGUGAUGACGGCCUUCGGGUUAUAAACCGCUUUCGCCUGUGACGUAGCGGGAGUGACGGUAAUGAGUAAAGAAGCACCGGCUAACUACGUG